UUUGCAAUUUUUUUAUUUUCUUUAGAAAUUUUUGGAGAAAUGUGUUCUGAAAUGUUGUUUAACAUUUGAAAAUGUAUUUUUUAGUUCUAAUUUUGGUUGUGAUCUUUAAUGUUUUUGCUUUGAGCGAUUUGUUGACAGGGUUUGGACUUCAGGGCCACCGUACCCCAAAUAUCCUGUAAAUCUUUGCAUCACCACAAGAUUUGAAACCAGAGGAACAUACUUUUGUAUCUUUUGUUCCAUAUCCUGUGUGUUUUUGUAACUUUCUCUCACAUAUUUCAGAUUCUUUAAGGGAAAGAUUAUUUUUUUUCUCUCCUAUAUUUUGUGUUUUUGCAACUUUCCCUCACAUAUUUCAGAUUAAAAGAAUAAAAAGUUGGUAUCUUGCAACAAACAUUUAUAACAAUGUUACAAAGCUGCAGUUAUUUCAGGAUAGAAGUGGGGCUGAGAUGCAUGGCUUCACCUCCUUCAACACCAGAUAAAGAACUUGUGCACACACACAUGCGCACACACAGUGGACAGAAAGGACUCACACUGAAGGGGAACAAUGGAUGGAGAGGGGACACCUGCUUGUCUGACAACCCCCCUUCCUCCUCCUCCUCUUCAUCACACCAGCCUCUCAGCUAUUAGGAUUCAGUUCAGGGCUCUGCUCCGUCUCCGUGAGUGGGUCAGCCAUGCGUGUCAUGGUGAAAUCCAGUGAAUGAUAAUGAACUUAGUGAACGUGCGCGCAAGUGUGCGCAAAAGAGGAGGAGGAGGAGGAGGAGGAGAGGAGGAGGCUUGUUGAAUCACUCCCUCCAUCCUUCCAUCCUAUCUAUCCAUCCAUCUGUCCCUCCUCCUCUUCCUCCUCCUCCUCCUCGUUGGUGGUGUGUCGGUGUUGGAGAGCUCUGACACACACGCGCGCACACACACCUCCGCCGAUGUGUCACUACCCAUUCCACCUGCCUCCUCCUGUCAUUCCCCGCCUGGCGCUCCAUCUAACCUCCACUCUUCCUCUCCAUCCUCCAGCUUUCUCCUUUUUAUUUGUUCAAACUCAUGGCUCUCCUCCUCUCCACUCUUCCUCCGUGUCCUCCUCCACACCCCCUCCCCUUUACGCGCGGUGUGUCACCGCCGCCGACAAGAAAGAAAGAAAAGAAAAGAAAGAAAGAAAGAAAGAAAGAAAAAUGCUCCUGUCGACACGUGAAAAGAGACAGCAGGAACGGAGUCCAAGAGGAGCAGAGGGAGCGGAGCGCGCGGCGAUCCGCCUGAUCCAAACGGGCCAGAGCCUUCCUUGAUGGAAUAUCCCGGACGGUGGAAGGAGGGCAGAAGGAGAAACAGCGGAGGAGAAGGGGAGAGAAGAUUAAUAGGACAGAGAACGCGGGAUUGCCUCGAGAGGUCCAGUCUCAUUGUCCUCGCGCGCACACUUGGCUGCAGAGCGCGUGUGUGUCCGUGUGCAUGUGAGGACGAAGCCUCAUGAGCCGGUCAUCCCUGCAGCUCCACUUCCCACUCUGAGGUCUGCGCGGAUGCCGUACCUCAGGUAGACCAUGCCGUUCACCUGCGCCUGCUUCUGCGGCCUGAACGGCUUCUGCUGCAGACGGAAGAAGAAACGGAGGGAGCGCGUGGAGGAAAGGGAGGGCGAGGGAGAAGAGCAGCGGAGGGAUGAGGAGACAGAGGUGUGACGGGAUCUCCGUCUGGAUCUGCGCAUCUCAAUAUGUUUUUUAAAGCAGUUUUUCACUUUUUUGUGUACAUAAAUGAGACUAAUGAUGUUUAAGACACGAUGAUCUGUUCUGAAUGUCGUUCUGAAUCAGAGCAUCGUUUUUCUAAUGUGAUUCAGAGAAAAUCCUUUAUUUUGUAUAAAUAUAAAUAUAACAGCUGCUGUGCUGCACAAAGACGUGAAGAGGCUCUAAAAAUCGAUUGUUUGGUUCAGUCUUUUCCACCUGUACUGGUCCCCUGGUCGGAGGCUGAGCUGGAACCGAGCCUCACCGCGUCCACACCUACCUGCUCAUGUCAGAUCAACUUAGAGAAAACUUAAGCCGAGUGAGAAGGCGCGGAGUAAUUUCCAGAGUCGCCCACGGAGUGCUGGAGCCCAUCACAGAUUUUCACGCUGCGCUGGGCUCCAUCUAAAGCCAAGCAGCUGUCCAAUCAGCAGCUUAGCUGGAGUGUGAACAUGGAAGUCAAGGGUCAGAAUGAGGAAUCCGAGAGCGCCGUGUCCUCUGAUGCUCUGUCAUCUUCGUCUAGUUAAUCGGCAGGCAGGUAAUUACGAAUAGAUUACUAAUAGCCCCCCCUCCCUUCAGCUGUCACCUGCUCCAUCUUUGGUCAUAACUGUUGACUGCUAGAGUCAAGGCGAGCGAGGUUCGGGGUUAUCUUCGGCGGCGUCCGAGCACGAAGACAAAGUCUCAUUAGCCGGCGUGAUUAUGCGCGGCACGUCCAGUCAGGCGGUGGAGAUAUAAUUAACCUUUUCCAGCAGGAAACAGAUGCCUGGAUGUCACACACAAACAUGCACAAUGACAUACAGACUCGCACACGUCUGCUGUCAGGGAAACAAAGCCGACGUCACGGUGUCACGGAGACAAAGCCCCAAAAGCGCCGCCUGGCACUCAGCGAUAAUCCCCUCACACAUUUUUUACAUUCAGAAAGUGCCUCAGUGGAUCUGUGUCUGUCUUACACCAACACCACCACCUCACUCCAUCCUUAACAUCAAACUCUCCUCGGUUUGGACGCGGCCUUGCGAAUAAACUCGAUUCCUCGGAAUGUCGGCGGUUUGGUAAAAUGUGCUAAAACACAAACGCCGUUUUAAUGGACGAGCGGAUGGCGAGUCUGAAAAGACGGUGUGUUUACACACACGCGCACGCAGGCAACGCGGUGAAACAAAGCUAAACCCAUUUCACAGAGCACGGCGCCUAUUAUGAUUCAGUGUUACGAUGCAGCUCUAAUGAGAAGCAGAGAAUGAGGGGAGGGGCCGGAGGAGGAAACCAGGAGAUGAGAAUAAGAGCGAGGGCUGGAAAUGGAGAUGGGGGGGGGGUAUGGUAGACAGAACAGUCAUGCUAAUUGGCUACAGUAGAUAACUUUCUGAAGGUUGGGGGUGGACGGGGAGGGGGUGUGAAUAGAGGUGAGGGCUGCAGCGUAAAGAGAGCAGCAUGAUCUGCCUUCAUCACCGCUCCCUUCAUUUAACCCUCCUAAUAGGAGGAAUAUUGGCUGCGGUAAUAGCCAAAGACGAAAAAUGAUUUGUUUGUAGGUGGAAGGAUGUGUUGUUGGGGAGGGCGAGGGCUGCAGGGAAAUGGCAUUUGGCAGGAGUGUGUGUUUUUUUUUUCCCAUAUCCCAAUCCUUUAUGGAUCAUGGCAAUUUUCAGGCAAUUCAAGGACAAACAGCUAAAAAUAGAAGGGCGGUGCACGACUCUCAUGAUAGCACCGAAGGGGGGAGGGGGGAUGAGAGGGGGGGUCGAAAAAUGAGUCCUGUCGCAUUAGAUUUGGGUCAGAAAAAAAAAGGGGCGAGCCAGCGAAGCGGAGGCUGCUGCAGACGGCGGGAGACUUAUCUGUCGCACCUUUUGGUGCUUCUCUGACGCCUUUCUCUGCAAAACACCUGACGGGACAGGAGGAGGGGCCAACGAAAACGGGGGUGCAGGAGACACAAGGACUAAAAGACAAAAAAAUGAGGUCAAGAAAGCAGAAGAUUCUUGGUCUGUAACAGUCAAAUACAGAAAUCAAUGUCAAAAAUUGUUUAAGGCUUCACUCAAAUUUUAACAGACAUCCAAAGACUACACAUUCUCACUCUCAACUCGAUAUAUAUGGACGUACGGUUUGGGCCCCCUCCGCGUCACUUUUUAUGUUUUGGAAGCCCCCAACUUGCUUUUUAUGACAUGCUGGCCAUUUCCAUUAAUUCAUGGGUCCCUAAUGGGAUCCAGUAAUAGAUGUGGAACUGGUACUGGAUUAGGGUACCUGGACUAUACCGGUACCUGUCCGUUAUUGGUCCGCGUCCUGAGGGUUGGGGACCCUGAUUAGUGUCUGUGGCCUUAUACCAAGCGGCCUGGAGGUUGAUUUAAUGGUUACAUCAUUAUAUUUGUUAAAUUUCCAUUCUAAAGUCGUAUGUCUUUGGUCAGAAAAUAAAUUUUUUCAUAACUACUGAUUUUUUUGUAACAAAAGCUGAACUCUCAUUUAAGAAACUUUGAAGCUUUUUCAUUCUUUUUUUUAUUUUUUUUUUUACCUGAAACAGAAGGAUGUGAUCUAAAAAACGAUCAAUCCAAGGAUUUGAUAAUUCUAUGCCACAUUUUCUAUGUUAAGACAGAUUUGAUUUGAUCAAUCUUUUUUUUCACCUCAAAAAAAGUAGUUAUUCUGACUGAACCUGAACCCCAUAGUAAAAUGCGACUACUUUGAAAAGAAUUCUAUAGUAACGAGAAGAUAAAGUCCAAUUUUUAACACGCUUCUGUCUACAGUGACUAUAGGAAAACUAUGGUGCUAGAACUAGUCUUGGAUGACUUGGAUGGUACUGGAAAAGUUAUACUGGUUAGGUAAUAUAAGUAAAUUGGAUAAGGUUGAACCAGAACUGGACUCAGCUGAUUGGUUGUGGUUUAAAUGACAAACCAAUGAACAGCAUAUAGACUCGUCCAGUACACAUGCAAGCCAAGUACACACAAUACAGCAAUACUUUGACAUGAACUAAAGCUUACAACUGUUUUCAACAAGGCAGGGACUUUUCAAGGGUAGCCAAUUAACUUCUACCACCAACUUUUUAAAGUUAGGAUGGUCUGGGUACUUUGGUUAAGUUACUUACAUAUUGGGGCUGAUUUAUUAGCCCACAAAAAUGCUCAAGCCAAAGAACCACAAAACAAAAGGUCAAAACAAUCAAUUUAGCAUUUUAUCAUUUACUUUUUGGGUUUGUUUCUGUCCUGCCCCAAAACCUGCUUCUUUGCCCGUACAGCUUCCCCCAACCUUACAUUUACCAUCCAAGUGAAGAGAUAUGGAAAAAUAGUUUCUUCAAAUUCAGACUUUACAACAUCAUCAAUAGUCGCUGGUCAUACGUUAGUGCAAAUCUGCCAGCAUUUAAAAAAACAAUUAUAAUAUUGAUUAAAAACAAAAAUUAAUACUUAAAUUUAAAUGUAAAUUCUCAACAUCCACAUGAAAAAAAUGUUUCUCCUCCGCCCAAAAGUGUGACGAGGAUCAUCCUACUAGGAAAGGGAUUGGCAGGCCUAAGUUUUUUCAGCUCCUCCAUAGAAAAAAAAAAAACUUUCGUACACCACCACUGCUUCAAAUGCCCCUUCAGUUGGUGCAAUAGGUACGAGCAACAGGGAUAGGGAAGCAAUACUUUUAUCUUAACAUCGGAAGGGAGUCUCAAAACCACAACUAGAUACUCAAAACUCAUCUUACAUUGUUUCUCUUCAUUAUCUGGUCUGUUUUCUUGUUGUCAUUUGAAAGUCAACUUAAUCUGAACAAUUGACUACUUAAAGGGAAAUGUUCACUUCCACACUCUUCCAAUUGAGCAACUUUAAGGAUAGAAUUCCAGCACACGAUGCAAGAGAACUACAUUUACCCAAAGAUAAAAAAACACUAUAAAGUGUUCAGGGAAAGUGCUUAACUGCCCAACUCAGUCUGUGAUAGAGGUUGGCUCUGGGGCUUUAAACCCCAAACCACAAAAAUCAAGGAGAAAAAUCUCUAAAAACUUAACUAGAUGUUGCUUUGAGGCCCUAAAUGCCAAGCGUGUCAAUCCUGCCCAAAGACUUCAGCUAAAUUUAGAAUGUGCUACAGUUUGGCACCAACCAAAUGUCACUACUCGCAACUAUCUCAAACCGUAAACAUUCCCCCUGACAGACUGCUCAUGACUGGUGACCUUUCCAGGGUCUACUCUUGACGGAUAGAAGAUGUGAGCAUUCCAUGUGAAAAAAAAAAAAAAUGUGGAAUUCAAAAAACAUUGAUUUAUGGUGUUUCUGUAUAGUUUUUGUAAAUUCAUAACCAUUUUUUAAGCCCAAAGCGAAUCCUGUGUGGAGUUUUCGAUGAUAUUAAUGUAAAUUUAUGCUUUAGCUUUCAAAUGCUGACAUUGCAUUCAUGAGAACCAGGGUCAAUCGAAGGUUAAUUUUAUAAAGAAUAUUUAUAAGUUAUGGAAAAUGGGUUUUUGAGAGGUCAGUACCCUAGUAGUUAGUUUUUCACCACUUUGCUGCCUAUUUUUAGAAGAUUUAAAGAAGUCAGUAAAGUCUCUUGACGAUUUCCCACCUUACCUUUUUCUCCUUUACCCACAUCUGUUGUGUUUUUCCCAAUAAAGAGAAGAGUGAUGGCCGCUCCAAGGCUAAUUAGGAUGUCUGAGAGGCAAAACACUAAUAGACUAGUAAUAGAGUCAGAUGGGAGGCACAGAUGCUGGAUCUCCUAGCAGUCACAAAGCAUCAGAAGAGGGAACUGGGAAAAAGGCAUGCUGCGAGAGGAGAUAAAAACGAGCCUAGGAGGUGUUGGAGAGAGAUAUAUGGUGUAAUUGAGACUGUAAUGGGUUUUGUCAGGAGCACCUGUCAGGGUCAAGUUAAAAUGGCUCCGGUGAUGGGGAGGAGAGAGAGGAGACAAUGGGAAAGCAAAGAGAGGGGCCAAUUGGAGUCAGGAUCCUCAUAUGAAGAGCCUCUUCUCUAUGCCAACCUCGCCUGAUUGCUAAUUUGCGCCAGUCAACGGGCAUCAAACGGCAAGUCUCACAAUGCACAUAAAUAUUACUGAUUGGAGUGCGGUUACCUGUUAAAAGCACCCGUUCACAUCCAACCCGCACAAAUACACCACGACAAGCCAGGCUGAUUAUCCGCUUCUCAGUGCCUAACAAGGUGUCCACGUAAGCGUGUGAUUGAAAAGCACAACUGCCACUGGUAAAUACCAAACUCUCCCCCUGCGUCUAAAUGAAAAAUAAGGGUGGAGGGCUUAUUAGAUUGGUGCCUGCUGCGCCAACCUAAGUUCUGCACCUUGUUCAUUACCAGCCCCCCCACCUGUGUCGAUCACCCACCACCCCGCAAACUGUCUGUAAUAGAAAAACCAAUUCUCACUUAAGAGUUGAGGUCCAUGCCUCAGGGGAGAUGAAAUCAAGUAGAGUGGGAUUUAUUUAUAAGUCGCAGCUAAAGCUGCACCUAGCAAUCCUGUCAAACUCCAACGGCCAGGAGAAAUAAGUCAAAUCUGGGACUUUUCAGGGGGAAAAAUAUCAGUUUAGGUGCUGUCAGCUAGAUGGAUCACACUAGGUGUAUAUAUAUAUAUGUGCGCGUGUAUGUGUGUAGAAACUUCAAUGUUUUUAUGUAUUUUAAUUUCACGUUAUAAAAUUAGCAGGAUGUAACUAAAGGCUCUUUCCCUUAAGAAAAAAUAACAAAAAUUUUAUAUUUUCCACGAGGGCAAAAUUAUGUUUGUGUUAAUAGUAUUGUUCUUUGUUAACAUAAACCUUAGAAACUACAAGUUUCAUAUACAUAAAAAAUAAAAGGAUGUAACCAAGUGAGGAAAGUGAGGAAAAAUUACUCAACUCUUCAAUUUAAAAAUAAAUAAAUAAAUAAAUAAUCAGUUUGUUCUGUCACCAAGAUGGACCACAUUAGGUAUAUAUAUAUAUAUAUAUAUAUAUAUAUAUAUAUAUAUAUAUAUAUAUAAAACUUUGAAACUUUGGUAACUACCAAGUUUAAUACAAAUUAAAUGUAAGUAAAGGCUUUUUUGCUUGAGGAAAAAUAACUUCAAUUUAGAAUUUUUAGCAAGUAUAUAUAUACAGUUUCAUUCUUUAAUUCCAAUAUUGAAAACAGAGACUUAGAUAACUGUGAAGUUACUGUUUGUUUUAAUGUCAUAUUCAUUUAAAAUGCAUAUAGGACACUGUAUCAAAACUUUUUUCUGUUUUUUUCCCAUUAUUUAGGGAAUUACUUCUUCUAAAUACAAUAAAGUUAUUUAUCCCUUUACCACCCAUGUAUAUGUUAUACUUAUCUAUAAUUAUUGUUUAUUAGGCAUCAAUUUAAAACUAUUUAUUAAAUGCCAAAAUAAAGCAAUAGAAAUCAGUUUUGUUUAGUAUCAACCCAAUUACUAAGCGAACACUCGUUUGUUCGCCCGUUCCAUGGUGGCCUCAUCUGUAUCCGCCCACACUGGCUUGAGUGGGCACUCAGUAGUCUGGCUCGCUGGACAGCGGAGCUUGCUAACUCGCAACGCUGUCCGCUGGGCAGCUUGUUAGCUCGCACGAUGCCCACUGGGCGGCUGGUUUGCGUAGGGACCCAGACCACUGAGUCCCCACCCAAGCCACUGUGGGCAAACACAGAUGGGGCUGCCAUGGAACAGACCAACCUGGGGCCCAACAAUUCAGCUCAAAGGUAAACCAUAUUGUGCCCAUAUUGACUUGUUCGUUGGAUUAAGUGACUAUUAAAAAGCUGUUUAGCAGAAGUACAAUCAGCAGUUUGCAUCAGUUGUUUUUUGUUUAAUUCUAAGCUGAGCAUCCAGUAAGAGACAAUGGACAGAAAUUACUCAAAACUUGCUGAACUAAAACUGCAAAUGAAAACCACAACUUAAGCUGUAAAGACAAUCACAAAAACCCGAAAACAUCUGCUUAAAAAGUUGAUAAAUAAGUUUCCACCUGUUAGAACUGUGAGAAUUGUAGGGAUAAACAAGGGAAUUGCAGUUGCAAGCUUCACUUAAAUUGAAGUUAAAGGAGGAUUUUUUGUUAAAUAUGAAAAAAAAUCUACCUACAGAACCUACCUUACAGCCAAUAAAAUAUAUCAUUAAUGCCCUUACAUAAAUCAUCUUAGCAUCUAAAUCUCUUGCUAUCAAAAAAUGUAAUAAAUUAACAAAAAGUUAGCUUUAAUUUAUUGUUUUUUUUUUUUUUAGUAAUGAGGUGCAUUUGCGCAUUUAUACACUAGGGGGCCUAAUCUGUCAACUCGAAUUAAAAAGGCUUUCUUGGAAAUGAGACGUGAGGCUUUAAUUUCAAGCCACCAAUAUUUUAUAAGGUAGAGUUGAUAAAACAACACCUCAAGGUUUAUUUGUCAACACAGGCAUAAUAUAGAUCCUUCUUUUCAAUGAAUUAAUUGUUUUUCGGCCUUUCUUUUGUUUACUCACAAAUUUGUAAGCUGUUUCCCUGCAGGCGCCUCGGGGUAAACACCGGGCUUCGUUUCGCAGAACUUCGAACGCUAAGAAUAUUUUCUAUAAUUUAGGAGCAUUACUAUUGACUCUUCAUUUCCCCCGUCUGCACUUCAGACCACAUUUGCUCAAUAGUUUUAGGCGUCAAAAAUUAAUAGAGGCAAAGAUGGAGAAAUUCUUAAGCUCAGAAAUCGAAAGUAUUCCCUUUAAAAAAAAAAAAAAAAAAGUCAAUUUUGAAUUCUGCAGAUGUCCUGCGGCCUUCAGUGUUAGUUAAAAGUUAAAGGAAUAACCAGUGGAAACUUUUUCACCUUCAGAGUCCUCCAUAACUCUGAACAAGUUAUACGCCGCCGCUGCAGCAGCAGCUGCUGCAGGCUAUCUGAGCUCAAAUGCAAGUUUUUUCAGGAGGAAAAACAAUAAUACUCAGCAGUGUGGAAGGAAAACUCCUACAAUUGGCCUGGGGGGACAGUGUUGUAAAGAAGGUCAAGUGUCCCACAUAUUUCAUACUGAAUCACCAUUAUUAAUGAAGGAUAAUUCAGUUCAGCUUCCCCCCUCAGAUUCCACACUCCGCCGCCAACGCUGGUCAAUUCCAGAGCUGGUAUCGAGCCGAGGCCGUGGUCAGAAUGAGACUUUGAUUUCUCCACGGUGUCGAAUUCCCAUCAGGGAGCGCAUUGAUGAAGUGCAUGUGAGUGCAGCGAGCGUGCGCUUUAAGCUCCUUUUGAUUUACUGCUGCUCAAGAACAAUACUUUUCAUUAGCGGCUGAUAGCAUUCAUUAAGAGUGAUUCAGCAUGGCUGCUAAUGGUCUGAUUUGCUCUCGAACACUUCAUUCCCCUUCAGAAACCUGCAAACACACAUAGCACAAACACAUUCCCAAAUUGGUGGAUAGUGUCUGGUAAUAUUUGUGAAAGAAGCUUGGUGGUGUAACCAUCCACCUUCAUCUGAACCUGAUGGUGACAUUUCAUCUUCGCGGUUGCACUUUGUAGUCCAGUGAUGAAAUCAAUAAACUUUGGUUUAUUGAACAAUACAUAGAGGGAUUUUGACUUCCAAAAUUAAAGCUUAAUGUAGAGUUUAUAAACCAAAAUGGAGCAGGGUCAAUUCACCAUGUUAGCAGUGGGGGGCCUUUUGGCCCAGUUUGGAUCCCCAUUGACUCCAAUGGUUAAAUAUUCAAUGGUAGAAGGAAACAUUUUUGCCUCUGGUUGUAUACAUUUUUUGCCCUUUGACAUUUUGGAUGUCCCCAACUUGUUGUUUUUUUCACAUGCUGGCUGUUCAGUCCCCGACCUUCGGGCUGUGAACUGGUACUAGUUUGAAGGCCGCUUGGUACCGAGCCUAAGACAGAAAAAAAUGCAUUCACUAAUAACGGGCCCCCAACCCUCAGGACGCAGACUGGUACUGGUACCCUAACUGUAACCCAGUACCGGUUUCGCAUCCAAUAGCAUGUCUGAUACUGCGUCUGAUACCGUGCCCGGUACCGCGUCCAGUACUGCAUGAUUUAAUGGGAACAGCCAGCACAUCAAAGAAUGAAUCAGUUGGGAACACCCAAAAUCUCAAAAAGUGAAACCAUACGUCUCUAUAUGACAAGUUGGGAGUGAGAAUGUGUAGAAGACAGAAUCAGCUGAUCACAUAAACCAGGAACUGCAGAAGAAAAUGGCCAAACAGAAAAAAAAAAAAUAGAUCAUACAUCUCUGAUAAUUUUCGUGGAGGCGGGCUGUGGUUUGGGUACCCCUGGUUUAAACAAUCAAAGAGUUACGGUGUGUCUAAGAAUGUGUUAUUUAGGUAUUGCCGGUGACAUCUCUAGUUUUAAAGGGUUAUCUGUCCUGAAAGUAUGUUUUUAACAUCUUAAUGGUUUUAUUACACAUUUACCAUUUUUAGAAAGUCAGGAGUCAUGAAAACACUGCACUGUCAUAAUCCAAAAAUCUAUUGUAAAUGGCGUCUAUUGAAACUCACAGGUCAUGUGACUACAGCUCAUUAGUAAAAGCACAGUUAUGGCGAAUGCGCUGAUAUGCACUAUAACAACAUAACUCAGGUUUUAGUAUGAUAUAAAGUGACAAAUAAUUUUUUAAAGAAUGUACUAUUAAAUCAUUUCCAGUCUGUUCAUUUCUACUGUUGUGUUCACCAACUCCAAGCUUUCUUGUGUUUUAUUUAUAUUUCACGGGUUUAUUUUGGUAUGAUGCUCCUCCAUGUUUCUCAUCAAUCAUAGUUCUAUCUAGACCCUCAACAGAGAGGAGAGAAAUGCAGGAAGGACCUUUGACAGAGCCACGCUGGAGAGGGACAUACAUAAACAUGAGGUCACCCAGGGGGAGACGGGGGAGGAGGAGGAGGACGAGCUGGUGGAAGAAAGAAAAGUGUGAGAAUGAGGAAGAGAGGCAGAAAUGGAGCUUCAGAAAGGUUGUGUCUCAUUGACGAGCUCACUCCAUUCAGGGAAAGCCACCGAUCAAUGCCGCCGCGUUCGGCAUCAACCUGUGGGGCAUCGUGUUGGCGUGUGUGUGUGUGAGCGGCAGAGUGUGUGCUUGCAAUGCGGAACACGUCAGGAGUCCCGGGGAGCCCCUUUUGCAGCAAAGCCUCAUUAAAGAGACACUAGCCUUAAAGCAAGGAUGUAGUGUCAGACCACACACACUCAUGCAAAUCCAAAAGCAGCUUCCGACAAAUCAAAUCCAAAACCUCAGCUGAGAGAUUCCUGAAACGCUCUCCGCUCUAAUCCUUUCUUCCAUUUCCUGUCCUCCUUCUCCGUGUGAAUAAAGUUUAAUUCAUCCACCCUCACACCAAACACACACUCGCACACUAAUAUAAUAUUCAUGUAUAUUUGAUUGUGUCAACUCUGCAGAGAUUGGCCGGGCUGUUUCUAGUGUGCCUUCUUAAAAAAAUGCAUCUAUGAAUAAAUAAUUCUGUACGCGCUGAUUGAAAAAGCCAUAUUGCCAAAAAAGCCAUGAUGAAAUGAUAAUGUAAUGCUAAAUAAAACAAAGCAACCCCCCCCCUUUUUAUGUCUUAUUUAUUUAUUUAUUUUUACUGAAAAUUGUCGCAGUGAAUAAAAGCUGACGCCUAAUAAAAACCCUCAUGUACGCUUUGCACUGUGUUUUAAUAAAGACUCUCCUUUCUAUA
Molecule: long non-coding RNA, 12104 nt
Organism: Oryzias melastigma (Indian medaka)
Lineage: Eukaryota; Metazoa; Chordata; Actinopteri; Beloniformes; Adrianichthyidae
Exons: 3
Source: RefSeq, a predicted model, not a curated record